Molecule: ribosomal RNA, 412 nt
Filed under: uncultured bacterium
Lineage: Bacteria
Description: bacterial SSU rRNA
Rfam family: Bacterial small subunit ribosomal RNA
Source: RNAcentral
UGAGGAAUAUUGGUCAAUGGGCGAAAGCCUGAACCAGCCAUGCCGCGUGAAGGAAUAAGGCCCUAUGGGUCGUAAACUUCUUUUGUAUCGGAGCAAUAAGGGCCACGAGUGGUCCGAUGAGAUUACGAUACGAAUAAGCAUCGGCUAACUCCGUGCCAGCAGCCGCGGUAAUACGGGGGAUGCGAGCGUUAUCCGGAUUUAUUGGGUUUAAAGGGUGCGUAGGCGGUCCGGUAAGUCAGCCGUGAAAAGCCCCCGCUCAACGGGGGUCGUGCGUUUGAUACUGUUGGACUGGAAUGCGGAUGCCGUGGGAGGAAUGUGUGGUGUAGCGGUGAAAUGCAUAGAUAUCACACAGAACACCGAUUGCGAAGGCAUCUCACGAAUCCGCAAUUGACGCUGAGGCACGAAAGCGCGG